This 253-nucleotide ribosomal RNA is filed under the name uncultured bacterium. RNAcentral's name for it is "partial 16S ribosomal RNA". It matches the Rfam family "Bacterial small subunit ribosomal RNA", at positions 524 to 776 of the family's 1533-position model. The record is from RNAcentral.
UACAGAGGGGGCAAGCGUUGUUCGGAAUUACUGGGCGUAAAGGGCGCGUAGGCGGCCCGCUAAGUCGAACGUGAAAUCCCCGAGCUCAACUCGGGAACUGCGUCCGAUACUGGUGGGCUUGAAUCCGGGAGAGGGAUGCGGAAUUCCAGGUGUAGCGGUGAAAUGCGCAGAUAUCAGGAAGAACACCAAUGGCGAAAGCAGCUCUCUGGGACGGUACUGACGCUGAGACGCGAAAGCGUGGGGAGCGAACAGG